This is a long non-coding RNA of Phycodurus eques (leafy seadragon), 1353 nucleotides long. RefSeq lists it as uncharacterized. Lineage: Eukaryota; Metazoa; Chordata; Actinopteri; Syngnathiformes; Syngnathidae. The transcript is spliced from 4 exons. The record is from RefSeq and is a predicted model, not a curated record.
GUGACCCCCCCAAAAAACAAACAUAAAAAAAAUCGAAUACGUCGUUGGUUGUAUGACAGUGAGUACAAUCGAGAAACAUUAACUGAAGCUCAAGAUACGUCAGGGAGACGCAGCCAUGCUCCGAAAGCUCGAUCAUCUGCUUUUUGGGGGAGAGGAGGAUGCCUAGGAGGAACCGAGGUCUGAAGAAGUGGAAGAAGAAUGGCUUGUGGUUGAUCAUCAUGAAGACAUGAAUUCUGCAGAGAUCCCGAGCGCGGAGGCCGCCACUAUAUUAUCAGACUCUGCUCCUAAUGCAAUGACUAUUACAAAACUAGAAACCACAAGUGCAAGACCGGUUAGAGCGUCUGCCUCACAGUUCUGAGGACCGGGAUUCAAUCCCCGGCCCCACCUGUGUGGAGUUUGCAUGUUCUCCCCGUGCCUGCGUGGGUUUUCUCCAGGUACUCCGACUUCCUCCCACAUCCCAAAAUCAUGCACGGUAGGUUAAGUGAAGACUCUAAAUUGCCCGUAGGUGUAAAUGUGAGUGCGCAUGGUUAUUUGUUUAUAUGUGCCCUGCGAUUGGCUGGCGAGCAGUUCAGGCUUAACAGUCCUCUCGCCCGAAGAUAGCUGGGAUAGGCUCCAGCAUGUCCGCGACCCUAGUGAGGAUAAACGGUACGGAAAAUGAAUGAAUUAAUAAUUGUAGAACCAAGACAUCGUCACGUAAAAUCUUAUUUUGAAGCCUGCAGAAUGAGCAAUUGUACAUUGAAUUACAUUUUAUGUUUCUUUUAGUGUAACAGAUCCGGCGAGUGAGCAGUGCACAGUUAAAAGCAAAGAAACAGCUGGUCACAUUCAAGCUAUCUCAGCAUUACUUUCUUCUCCUAAAGCCCUGCAAGAGGUCACAAAGUUAACCUGCAUGCAAAAAUCCUGCACAUCCCACCACCCUGUGUCCCGAAACGCUAUUCAGCAACACAAUCGUGGUCGGCGCGGAUUCCAGCGCCAUUCCUUCCCACUCCAACAACCGGGACAUCGCACCCUCAGCCACUCAAAGCGCUGCAAGUGCAACCAGUAAAGAAUCCAUAGAUCUGAUAAUCCCCUUAGAUUUCUAUGUCUUUGUUUUACAUGCAAUGAUUCUUAUAAGACUGACAACUCCUGUACUAAUCUUGCUAUAAUUAAUUACUGCACUUGUAUUUAAAUCAAACUGGCAGCUGUAAAGGAACCUUUUUUUUUUUUAUCAUUGCAUUUUACAUUGACAAACAUUGUUUUUUAUGGAUGCAUGUCUAUACAAUUAUGUCUGUAAAAGGUUUGAUAUGUUAUACUAUUUUUUUUUUUACUAGUGCUGUAUGUAUUUGAGUACAUGCAGCAAUAAAAUACAGAAAAGUG